Long non-coding RNA from Gallus gallus (chicken), 2185 nucleotides. The record is from Ensembl. NCBI's taxonomy places the organism in Eukaryota, Metazoa, Chordata, Aves, Galliformes, Phasianidae.
CCGAGGAGCCGGCCGGGCGGCAGCGGGGCGGGGCGGCCCCGGGGCUCCGAGCGCCGCCUCAGCUUCUGCGACCUCCCUUUUCCCCACUUAGAAUCGUGCAGAAGGAUCUGGAGACGUCCUAGAGAGGUUUGGGGGCAUCCAGGGGGUUCUGGACUCAUGCAGAAGAGUCUGGAGAUGUCCAAGGAGGAUCCAGGGAGUUCCCACGCCUGCCUGCAGCCGGACCCGGUGACACCGGAGCCCUCUGGCGCUGUCACCAUCCUCUGUCCCGAGGACGGGAGGUGAACUGUGUGCCACCAGCAGAGGGGACCACGGGUGACAUCAGUGUGGAACAGCCGUGACGCGGCGGCGUUGUCAUUGGGUGUCACCGUCACGCAGAGGGGACAAAAGGACCCCCCUGGGGGCAUUGCGUCGAAGUUGGGGACACCGUGAGCAGCUUGAGGACUUCCCAGGGGAAGUGGGGGCACCGCGUCACCGUGUCACACCCCAAAGGUGGGGACGCCCCCACAGUGUCACACCCCAAAGUUGGGGGCACCCCUGUAGUUUCACACCCCGAAGUUGGAAAAACCCCCACAGUGUCACACCCCAAAGUUGGGGACACCUCUGUGUCACCCCAAUGGUGUCCGACCCAAAGCUGGGGACACUCCACAGUGUCACACCCCAAAGUUGGGGACGCCCCGACAGUGUCACAUCUCAAAUUUGGGACAGCUCUGUGUCCCCCCAAUGGUGUCAGACCCCAAAGUUGGGGACGCCCCCACAGUGUCACAGCCCAAAGUUGGGGUCUGUCCCAGAGGUGGGAGUGCCCCCACAUCCCCACCAUGGCGUCACAUCCCAAAGUUGGGGACCCCCAUCUGGGGACCCAUUCUGUGCUCCCCCAAUUGCAGACAGCACUGUUCCCAUGGGGUGGGGGCGGGGGGCACCCUUUAUUUUUGGGAUUAAGGUUUAUUUCAUGAUAACGGGGGGUUGGGGAAUGCCCCCCCAUGUGAAUAAAGGGCGGAGGAGCGGCUGUGGGGCUCCGUGUGUAACACCGGGGGGUGCUUUGGGGACACUGCAGCAUCCCAGCCCCAUAGCCCCCAUGGCCCUAUAACCACUACAGCCCCAUCUCGUAGCCAUCCCAUAUCCAUAUCCCAUCCCAUAUCCCAUCCUGUAUCCAUAACCCUUCCAAUAUCCAAACCACCAUAUCCGUCCCACACCCAUAGCCCAAAUCCAUCCCAUAUCCGUAUCCCAAAUCCAUCCCGUAUCCAUACCCCAUCCCAUAUCCGUAUCCCAUCCCAUAUCUCAUCCCCUAUCCAUAUCCCAUCCCAACUCCAUGCCAAAUCUCUUUCUAUAUCCACAUCACCUUAUCCAUCCCAUAACCAUCCCAAAUCCAUCUCAAAUCCAUAUCUCAUCCCAGACCGAUCCCAUCUCCUUAUCCAUCCCGUAUCAAUGUCCCAUCCCUUAUCCAAUCCCAUACCCCAUCCUACAGCCAUCCCACAUCCAUACCCGCACAUCCCAUAUCCUAUCCCCAUCCUGUACCCCAUGUCCCAUAUCCAUUUCCAUCCCACAGCCUUCCCGAAUCCAUAUCCCCGCAUCCAUCCCGUGUCCACCCCAUAUCCAUUCCGUAUACUUAUCCCAUCCUAUGAUCAUCCCAAUCCCAUCCCAUAUCCAUAUCCCAUCCCAACUCCACCCCAUAUCGUUCCCAUACCUUUGCCAAGUCUGUCCCGUACCCGUAUACCCACUUCCCGCAUCCCAUUCCCAAUCCCAACCCCAAUCCCAAUCCCAAUCCCACACCUCAUUCCCAAUCCCACAUGCGAAUCCCGUAUCCCGCAUCCCAAUCCCUAUCCCGAAUCCCAAUGCCAAUCCCACAUCCCAGCCCCAUGUACUGUGUGUCAAUCUAUCGCAAUCCCAACUCUCAUAUCGCAGUCCUAACCCCAAUCCCACACCCCAAUCCCAAUCCCAAUGCCAUCCCCUAUUGCAAUAGGGCACACUCCGGGCCCCUCCCGCAGCUCCGUCCCGCCCCCAUCUUCUCAUUGGCUGAGGUGCAGCUCCGUCCCGGCCCCGGCCUCUCAUUGGCUGAGCCGCAGUUCCAUCCUGCCUCCAGCCUCUCAUUGGUCAGGUUCAGCUCCGUCCCGCCGCCGGCCUCUCAUUGGCUGAGGCGCAGCCCAGUCCCGCCCCCAUCCUCUCAUUGCUCAGCGGCAGCGCCGCCGGC